GAUGAACGCUGGCGGCGUGCCUAAUACAUGCAAGUCGAGCGAACGGACGAGAAGCUUGCUUCUCUGAUGUUAGCGGCGGACGGGUGAGUAACACGUGGAUAGCCUACCUAUAAGACUGGGAUAACUUCGGGAAACCGGAGCUAAUACCGGAUAAUAUUUUGAACCGCAUGGUUCAAAAGUGAAAGACGGUCUUGCUGUCACUUAUAGAUGGAUCCGCGCUGCAUUAGCUAGUUGGUAAGGUAACGGCUUACCAAGGCAACGAUGCAUAGCCGACCUGAGAGGGUGAUCGGCCACACUGGAACUGAGACACGGUCCAGACUCCUACGGGAGGCAGCAGUAGGGAAUCUUCCGCAAUGGGCGAAGGCCUGACGGAGCAACGCCGCGUGAGUGAUGAAGGUCUUCGGAUCGUAAAACUCUGUUAUUAGGGAAGAACAUAUGUGUAAGUAACUGUGCACAUCUUGACGGUACCUAAUCAGAAAGCCACGGCUAACUACGUG
RNAcentral lists this ribosomal RNA (497 nucleotides) under uncultured bacterium. RNAcentral describes it as "partial 16S ribosomal RNA". It matches the Rfam family "Bacterial small subunit ribosomal RNA", at positions 28 to 507 of the family's 1533-position model. The record is from RNAcentral.